CCCUUAGAUGUUCUGGGCCGCACGCGCGCUACACUGAUGCACUCAACGAGUCUAAAACCUGGUCUGAUAGGGCUGGGUAAUCUUUUGAAAGUGCAUCGUGAUUGGGAUAGAUGAUUGCAAUUCUUCAUCUUCAACGAGGAAUGCCUAGUAAACGCAAGUCAUCAGCUUGCAUUGAUUACGUCCCUGCCCUUUGUACACACCGCCCGUCGCUCCUACCGAUUGAAUGAUCCGAUGAAUACCAUGGAUUGAGAGUACGAAUGGGUUCGCUCAUUUCUGCUGCUCGAGAAGUGGAGUAAAUCUUAUCAUUUAGAGGAAGGAGAAGUCGUAACA
Molecule: ribosomal RNA, 330 nt
Filed under: uncultured eukaryote
Lineage: Eukaryota
Description: partial 18S ribosomal RNA
Rfam family: Eukaryotic small subunit ribosomal RNA
Source: RNAcentral